GCGGGUGUCGCCAAGUGGUAAGGCAGUAGCUUCCCAAGCUACCAUUUCGUGGGUUCGAAUCCCAUCACCCGCU
RNAcentral lists this transfer RNA (73 nucleotides) under Pseudomonadota bacterium. RNAcentral describes it as "tRNA-Gly". It matches the Rfam family "tRNA". Rfam says of the family: Transfer RNA (tRNA) molecules are approximately 80 nucleotides in length. Lineage: Bacteria; Pseudomonadati; Pseudomonadota. The record is from RNAcentral. RNAcentral also lists the same sequence under 2 other names.